RNAcentral lists this small RNA (97 nucleotides) under Escherichia coli. Its description in RNAcentral is "partial RtT sRNA". It matches the Rfam family "RtT RNA", at positions 36 to 130 of the family's 130-position model. Rfam says of the family: This family represents a bacterial cis-regulatory element known as RtT RNA. Lineage: Bacteria; Pseudomonadati; Pseudomonadota; Gammaproteobacteria; Enterobacterales; Enterobacteriaceae. The record is from RNAcentral.
CUAAGGUUCGACUCGAGCGCCAGCGAGAGAGCGUUGCCGCAGGCAACGACCCGAAGGGCGAAGCGCGCAGCGCUGAGUAAUCCUUCCCCCACCACCA